CACACACACUCUCACACACUUACUCACUUUCCUCUUCUCCCUCCCCAUGUUCGGUUUCUUCCUUAUCACUAACCACUAUCUAACUUAUUACAUAGUUUACUUGUUUAUCUAGUUCAUCAUCAAUUCCUGACUAGGAUGCAAACUCCACAAAGGCCGGGCUUUCGUCUGCUUUGUGGACCACGUUCAGCACCUGAGCCUCUCUCAUUCACACCCAGGCACCAGCUCAGUCGCCCUAGUACUUUGGGUGAAGAGGAAGGAAUAUGGGCAUCAGUGGUUCUUUUGUUCAGCCAAAGAGCACCCGGCACCAUCGGUCUGCUCUUGAGCCUGGCAAGUGCAUUUUUUUUUGGGAGCUACCCCACCAUGGAAUGCCAAGGAGUCCAGGGCAGGACACCAUUCCUAUCAGCAAACACUAGAACAGGGUAGACGCUGUGUGCCUCUGGUGUUUAUCACGUGCUGCCUCUAAUAAAUGCUAUUCACAACCACCACUAGACCAGGUCCCGUGCACCCUGACCCAUUUUAACAAACGUACCCAUUGAAUACAGUGAAGCUGGGGAAGCCCAGCCCAGGAGCAUUGCCUCACUGGGUCAGUCCCACUGCUGGGCUAGGACACCUGUGGUCCCUUCUUCUCACCCUGGAGCUGUGUCUGUGUGAGGGGCUUGCCCCUAAGCCAGCCCACCUGGCACCAUGAGGCCCCUGCCUUAUACAACGGCGAGUCGCCCCAGUUCGCCAUUGCAGCCCCGGACGUGCGCCUCCCGCGGAGCCGCUCGCUCUCCUGAGUCGGAGUCGGGAACCCGGCGUCCGUUGCCAUGGCGACUCCCAGGCUUCCCCACAAGACUCCCACAGCCUGGAGGCUGCUGCGAUACCCCAGAGGAAAGCUGCACCCCCGUAAAUAACCCUUCAGCCUCCCGCCGUGCCCCUGGACCCUGCUCGCUUCCUCCUCUACCCAGGCGCGGAGCUCAGCCUACCUCGUGGACCCGCGCAUUUGCGGGGGCUUGAAUUCCCGAGCUUCUCGCUUCCUACGCGCGCAGCAGACCCGCAGCUCGGUGGCCUUGGCUUUCAUGGCCUCCCAGCGUGUGCCAAAGGUCCCCCUCAAGGAGGAGGAAAAGCAGUGAACCCAUCUAAUAACUAUGCUCAUGACAUAAUGAGCCCUGCGAUCCCGGACCAAGGCCAUCAUAAGAGGAGAGCAGGCUGCCUAAUAAGCUGUCUCCACCUGCCACAAACGUAGGCGUUCCUGGACAAAAUAUUUCCUUGCAGAGAUUAAACAGAUUUCUAUUUAAUGAGGUCAGAAUGUGAGGCGUUAAGUCUUAAACUAUACCAUCUAGUGUGGAAUUCAAUUUUACCAGGUUUCUACAAUAAUAAGAGUUAAUAGUGAAACUGUUGUCAUCCUUAGUUUUAAAUUAUGUAUCACUCAUUGUCAACUAAUAGGAGACACCUAUUCUAAUAUCAGUAUGUCAUUGUUUUUCUGUAAACGACUGGCUAAAUUUAUUUUUAAAAUGUCAUUGUCUGGUUUAGAACUGUCUAUACUACAUCUGCAUUUCAAUAUAUUAUCUACAGAAAAAUAA
Molecule: long non-coding RNA, 1562 nt
Filed under: Homo sapiens (human)
Lineage: Eukaryota; Metazoa; Chordata; Mammalia; Primates; Hominidae
Description: HSALNT0356851
Source: RNAcentral